UACAGAGGUGGCAAGCGUUGUUCGGAAUUACUGGGCGUAAAGGGCGCGUAGGCGGCCUUCUAAGUCAGACGUGAAAUCCCCCGGCUUAACCUGGGAACUGCGUCUGAUACUGGGAGGCUCGAGUAUGGGAGAGGGAUGUAGAAUUCCAGGUGUAGCGGUGAAAUGCGUAGAUAUCUGGAGGAACACCGAUGGCGAAGGCAGGUCUCUGGGCAUUAACUGACGCUGAGGAGCGAAAGCAUGGGGAGCGAACAGG
RNAcentral lists this ribosomal RNA (253 nucleotides) under uncultured bacterium. Its description in RNAcentral is "partial 16S ribosomal RNA". It matches the Rfam family "Bacterial small subunit ribosomal RNA", at positions 524 to 776 of the family's 1533-position model. The record is from RNAcentral.